RNAcentral lists this ribosomal RNA (20 nucleotides) under Anopheles coluzzii. Its description in RNAcentral is "partial 28S ribosomal RNA". Lineage: Eukaryota; Metazoa; Arthropoda; Insecta; Diptera; Culicidae. The record is from RNAcentral.
CCUCAAGUGAUGUGUGACUA